CAGCCGCCACGGUAAUACGUAGGUGGCAAGCGUUAUCCGGAUUUAUUGGGCGUAAAGCGCGUCUAGGUGGUUAUGUAAGUCUGAUGUGAAAAUGCAGGGCUCAACUCUGUAUUGCGUUGGAAACUGUGUAACUAGAGUACUGGAGAGGUAAGCGGAACUACAAGUGUAGAGGUGAAAUUCGUAGAUAUUUGUAGGAAUGCCGAUGGGGAAGCCAGCUUACUGGACAGAUACUGACGCUGAAGCGCGAAAGCGUGGGUAGCAAACAGGAUUAGAUACCCGCGUAGUCCCUGUCUCUAUACAC
Molecule: ribosomal RNA, 301 nt
Filed under: uncultured bacterium
Lineage: Bacteria
Description: partial 16S ribosomal RNA
Rfam family: Bacterial small subunit ribosomal RNA
Source: RNAcentral